GAUGAACGCUGGCGGCGUGCCUAAUACAUGCAAGUCGAGCGAACAGACGAGAGUGCUUGCACUCUCUGACGUUAGCGGCGGACGGGUGAGUAACACGUGGGUAACCUACCUAUAAGACUGGGAUAACUUCGGGAAACCGGAGCUAAUACCGGAUAAUAUUUAUCUUCGCAUGAAGCAAUAGUGAAAGACGGUUCUGCUGUCACUUAUAGAUGGACCCGCGGUGUAUUAGCUAGUUGGUGGGGUAACGGCUCACCAAGGCAACGAUACAUAGCCGACCUGAGAGGGUGAUCGGCCACACUGGGACUGAGACACGGACCAGACUCCUACGGGAGGCAGCAGUAGGGAAUCUUCCGCAAAGGACGAAAGUCUGACGGGGCAAUGCCGCGUGAGUGAAGAAGGUUUUCGGAUCGUAAAACUCUGUUGUAAGGGAAGAACAAGUACGUUAGUAACUGAACGUACCUUGACGGUACCUUACCAGAAAGCCACGGCUAACUACGUG
This 499-nucleotide ribosomal RNA is filed under the name uncultured bacterium. RNAcentral's name for it is "partial 16S ribosomal RNA". It matches the Rfam family "Bacterial small subunit ribosomal RNA", at positions 28 to 507 of the family's 1533-position model. The record is from RNAcentral.